This 1372-nucleotide ribosomal RNA is filed under the name uncultured bacterium. RNAcentral describes it as "bacterial SSU rRNA". It matches the Rfam family "Bacterial small subunit ribosomal RNA", at positions 28 to 1381 of the family's 1533-position model. The record is from RNAcentral.
GAUGAACGCUGGCGGCGUGCCUAAUACAUGCAAGUCGAGCGAACGGACGAGAAGCUUGCUUCUCUGAUGUUAGCGGCGGACGGGUGAGUAACACGUGGAUAACCUACCUAUAAGACUGGGAUAACUUCGGGAAACCGGAGCUAAUACCGGAUAAUAUUUUGAACCGCAUGGUUCAAAAGUAAAAGACGGUCUUGCUGUCACUUAUAGAUGGAUCCGCGCUGCAUUAGCUAGUUGGUAAGGUAACGGCUUACCAAGGCAACGAUGCAUAGCCGACCUGAGAGGGUGAUCGGCCACACUGGAACUGAGACACGGUCCAGACUCCUACGGGAGGCAGCAGUAGGGAAUCUUCCGCAAUGGGCGAAAGCCUGACGGAGCAACGCCGCGUGAGUGAUGAAGGUCUUCGGAUCGUAAAACUCUGUUAUUAGGGAAGAAUAUAUGUGUAAGUAACUGUGCACAUCUUGACGGUACCUAAUCAGAAAGCCACGGCUAACUACGUGCCAGCAGCCGCGGUAAUACGUAGGUGGCAAGCGUUAUCCGGAAUUAUUGGGCGUAAAGCGCGCGUAGGCGGUUUUUUAAGUCUGAUGUGAAAGCCCACGGCUCAACCGUGGAGGGUCAUUGGAAACUGGAAAACUUGAGUGCAGAAGAGGAAAGUGGAAUUCCAUGUGUAGCGGUGAAAUGCGCAGAGAUAUGGAGGAACACCAGUGGCGAAGGCGACUUUCUGGUCUGUAACUGACGCUGAUGUGCGAAAGCGUGGGGAUCAAACAGGAUUAGAUACCCUGGUAGUCCACGCCGUAAACGAUGAGUGCUAAGUGUUAGGGGGUUUCCGCCCCUUAGUGCUGCAGCUAACGCAUUAAGCACUCCGCCUGGGGAGUACGACCGCAAGGUUGAAACUCAAAGGAAUUGACGGGGACCCGCACAAGCGGUGGAGCAUGUGGUUUAAUUCGAAGCAACGCGAAGAACCUUACCAAAUCUUGACAUCCUUUGACAACUCUAGAGAUAGAGCCUUCCCCUUCGGGGGACAAAGUGACAGGUGGUGCAUGGUUGUCGUCAGCUCGUGUCGUGAGAUGUUGGGUUAAGUCCCGCAACGAGCGCAACCCUUAAGCUUAGUUGCCAUCAUUAAGUUGGGCACUCUAAGUUGACUGCCGGUGACAAACCGGAGGAAGGUGGGGAUGACGCCAAAUCAUCAUGCCCCUUAUGAUUUGGGCUACACACGUGCUACAAUGGACAAUACAAAGGGCAGCGAAACCGCGAGGUCAAGCAAAUCCCAUAAAGUUGUUCUCAGUUCGGAUUGUAGUCUGCAACUCGACUACAUGAAGCUGGAAUCGCUAGUAAUCGUAGAUCAGCAUGCUACGGUGAAUACGUUCCCGGGUCU